GUGGAAUAUUGCACAAUGGGGGAAACCCUGAUGCAGCGACGCCGCGUGGAGGAAGAAGGUCUUCGGAUUGUAAACUCCUGUUGUUGAGGAAGAUAAUGACGGUACUCAACAAGGAAGUGACGGCUAACUACGUGCCAGCAGCCGCGGUAAAACGUAGGUCACAAGCGUUGUCCGGAAUUACUGGGUGUAAAGGGAGCGCAGGCGGGAAGACAAGUUGGAAGUGAAAUCUAUGGGCUCAACCCAUAAACUGCUUUCAAAACUGUUUUUCUUGAGUAGUGCAGAGGUAGGCGGAAUUCCCGGUGUAGCGGUGGAAUGCGUAGAUAUCGGGAGGAACACCAGUGGCGAAGGCGGCCUACUGGGCACCAACUGACGCUGAGGCUCGAAAGUGUGGGUAGCAAACAGGAUUAGAUACCCUGGUAGUCCACACCGUAAACGAUGAUUACUAGGUGUUGGAGGAUUGACCCCUUCAGUGCCGCAGUUAACACAAUAAGUAAUCCACCUGGGGAGUACGACCGCAAGGUUGAAACUCAAAGGAAUUGACGGGGGCCCGCACAAGCAGUGGAGUAUGUGGUUUAAUUCGACGCAACGCGAAGAACCUUACCAAGUCUUGACAUCCUGCGACGGACAUAGAAAUAUGUCUUUCCUUCAGGACGCAGAGACAGGUGGUGCAUGGUUGUCGUCAGCUCGUGUCGUGAGAUGUUGGGUUAAGUCCCGCAACGAGCGCAACCCUUACUGUCAGUUACUACGCAAGAGGACUCUGGCAGGACUGCCGUUGACAAAACGGAGGAAGGUGGGGAUGACGUCAAAUCAUCAUGCCCUUUAUGACUUGGGCUACACACGUACUACAAUGGCGUUAAACAAAGAGAAGCAAGACCGCGAGGUGGAGCAAAACUCAGAAACAACGUCCCAGUUCGGACUGCAGGCUGCAACUCGCCUGCACGAAGUCGGAAUUGCUAGUAAUCGUGGAUCAGCAUGCCACGGUGAAUACGUUCCCG
Molecule: ribosomal RNA, 995 nt
Filed under: uncultured bacterium
Lineage: Bacteria
Description: bacterial SSU rRNA
Rfam family: Bacterial small subunit ribosomal RNA
Source: RNAcentral